Long non-coding RNA from Gadus macrocephalus (Pacific cod), 1466 nucleotides. RefSeq lists it as uncharacterized. The transcript has 2 exons. Lineage: Eukaryota; Metazoa; Chordata; Actinopteri; Gadiformes; Gadidae. The record is from RefSeq and is a predicted model, not a curated record.
CUCAGGCCUCGACAUUAACAGUUGCCCGCUUGCCCGGGGCAACCAAAAGUCAUAUUUGGGCAAGUUGAGAUGGAUUUCUGGUUGCCCGAACGGGCAAGUGGAUUUUGGGUGGAUGUUAAUAUAAAGGCUAUUUAUUCAAAUGUUUUUAGAAACUGCAGAACAACCUUUUUUGCCGCAAAAUAACACAAAAUAUAAGUAUUUGCAAUUGAUCAGCGCGCAGUCUUCUCUUCUCUCGGAAAGCGAGUUAACAGACACGCAUCGCUUCAGUGUGAAUAUAGCCCCGCCUUCUGUCACUCGCUGUGCGUUCUCUGGCCGCGAUUCGAAGGUGUUAGCUAAAGGUUAGCCAACAAAGCUAGCAUCGCAAGUGCAGUGCCUCCGCCAACGGUUUAGGUCGAAGGAAAAUGGAGUAGUGAUGGAGGAGUGCAGCUUGGAAGUACUUUGGAUUGAGGCAAAUUACCAAAGAAAGUCAUAUGCAAGAACACGGUUUUGGGUUUCAUAACUGUGCACAUGCACAGCAAUAGCGAUCUUUUUCACGAAAUUGGACCCUCACAAACUAUAUAUAACAUGAAAGCUGAGCCUCCACUUAAUCCAAACCAUAUCAUUCUGUGACUAAAACUCGCAAAUAACAACUUAUGAAGAAACGUCCCCUUUUCUUUUAACAACCAAAAAUGAAGUAUUACCUUUGUGAUUUUUGUCCACAAAGUUGAUUCUGGUCGAAUAAAACCACCAUAAACAGAUAACCCAGUGUAAAUUGCCUUCAAUCAGAAAACAUAUUCUUCAGCGCAAUCUAGUGGCCAUAUGUUUAUUUGUGAGUGUCAGUGUCAAAAUUGUAAGAUACCUACCUUUAUUUGUGUCUCAUAGUAAGACAUCGCUCCCAACUGAUAACGACCAACUGAUAAUUAUUUCAGGUGGAAAUGUUAUCUUCCACUUAUGCCAUGGCUUUAUUCACUUUAACCAAGUAUCAUCCCCAUUGAAUAUUUCACUUUCACAACAAUCUUUCUUUUGGCACAAAGAUGACAUUAUCGCCCUUGCAGUUGUGGAGAUACUCUAUUUACUUUGGGUAUGUUCUUUCCUGAAAAAAACUUUUCCCCGGAUAUCAAAAAUGGUAUAGAAUAUCGAUAUUUUUCCAGGUAUAGUGUCAAAGUUAGAAAAUUCAGUAUCGUGACUGACAACACUACUAGAAACGCGAUUGUGAUUAUUCAGUUAGAGCUACAAGAAAUGUAAAAGUUACAAAAGACAUAUCUUUGCUACUACCACUGACAUUUACUAAAGUACAUUUGCAUGAAAUCAUGCAGGUCUACAUAUAACUUGGCGAUAGCUUUAAUAUGUUGCGGUGGACUGAAAUCACUUCAUGGCACGAUGUGACCGCUCGAUAAAUAAGUAAACAAAGAGAAGUUUGUUAUUUUUUAAACACAACAUGUGUGGAAGCUAACAUUCAGCUUCAGUCUGAGCUAGGGUGAUUUUUC